This 429-nucleotide ribosomal RNA is filed under the name Chloroflexota bacterium. RNAcentral describes it as "Chloroflexi bacterium partial 16S ribosomal RNA". It matches the Rfam family "Bacterial small subunit ribosomal RNA", at positions 355 to 776 of the family's 1533-position model. Lineage: Bacteria; Bacillati; Chloroflexota. The record is from RNAcentral.
UAGGGAAUCUUCGGCAAUGGACGAAAGUCUGACCGAGCAACGCCGCGUGAGUGAAGAAGGUUUUCGGAUCGUAAAACUCUGUUGUUAGAGAAGAACAAGGACGUUAGUAACUGAACGUCCCCUGACGGUAUCUAACCAGAAAGCCACGGCUAACUACGUGCCAGCAGCCGCGGUAAUACGUAGGUGGCAAGCGUUGUCCGGAUUUAUUGGGCGUAAAGCGAGCGCAGGCGGUUUCUUAAGACUGAUGUGAAAGCCCCCGGCUCAACCGGGGAGGGUCAUUGGAAACUGGGGGACUUGAGUGCAGAAGAGGGGAGUGGAAUUCCAUGUGUAGCGGUGAAAUGCGUAGAUAUAUGGAGGAACACCAGUGGCGAAGGCGGCUCUCUGGUCUGUAACUGACGCUGAGGCUCGAAAGCGUGGGGAGCAAACAGG